GAUGAACGCNGGCGGCGUGCCUAACACAUGCAAGUCGAACGGAGUCCAGCCUUUAAGACCUUCGGGUCAAAGAGGGGAAGACUGAGUGGCGGACGGGUGAGUAACACGUGGGCAACCUGGCUCAUAGAGGGGGAUAACAGAGAGAAAUUUCUGCUAAUACCGCAUAAGCACACACUGCUGCAUGGCAGAGGGUGAAAAGAGAAUCGCUAUGAGAUGGACCCGCGUCUGAUUAGCCAGUUGGCAGGGUAAGAGCCUACCAAAGCGACGAUCAGUAGCCGAUCUGAGAGGAUGAACGGCCACAUUGGGACUGAGACACGGCCCAAACUCCUACGGGAGGCAGCAGUGGGGGAUAUUGCACAAUGGGGGGAACCCUGAUGCAGCGACGCCGCGUGAGUGAAGAAGUAUUUCGGUAUGUAAAGCUCUNUCAGCAGGGAAGAUAA
Molecule: ribosomal RNA, 440 nt
Filed under: uncultured bacterium
Lineage: Bacteria
Description: bacterial SSU rRNA
Rfam family: Bacterial small subunit ribosomal RNA
Source: RNAcentral